Molecule: unclassified non-coding RNA, 4927 nt
Filed under: Hevea brasiliensis (rubber tree)
Lineage: Eukaryota; Viridiplantae; Streptophyta; Magnoliopsida; Malpighiales; Euphorbiaceae
Source: RNAcentral
UUUUACUCAGAACAAAUGGUAACUAUAUUGCAAAAGAAGGAACAUUUGUACAGAUUGUUAUACAAAAAGCACAACAAAACUGCAGCUGAAGCUUUCUCCAGCUACAAUGCUUUUCGGUAUUCACCUUGAAUUAGUGUUCAUAAUUAUUUUUUCCUAUUUCAUUUUAGCUUUCUUCCUCUCACCCUUCAUAUCAUUUACAUGGUCAGGCCUAUAUUUCUUACAAUUAAAAUACCUACACAUGUACAACUUAACCACCCCGAGAACCCUCCCCCGAUGCCGGCAGACAAAUUAUCCAAUCCUGAGGGAGCCUCUAGAUUCCAUAUUCUUUCAAAUGGUCAGCCUUCAUGUCUAGCCAGUCGCAUUCAAGUUCAUUUAGCACAGAAUCAAGUUCACAAUUGCACCAGUAUAAUGACAUGCUUGCUGGCCAUCCCGACAGCUGAGAACCACAUCCUCGCAGCCUAGCCAUUCUGCACAAUGAUUGGUGGCUCAACAAAACCUGCCUUUAGGUGGUGCAUGAUCUAUGAACAACCCAACAAUUUGAAAUCUUGUGAUGCUCUCAGCCGAAAGGAAAAACAAACAAAUGAGCCACAACUGCAACUUAUAAAGCUUCCAGGGUAAUUGAUGCUUUGGUGAAAACAGAGAGAACAAAUGGUGCCUCUUCCCCAGGGUGAAUUGUAGUAGGCACAAUAGUGUAACCUUUUGGAUCAGGAUCCAAAACCAUUUCACAUGAAAUCUCUCGAGAAUUGACGUAAUCUGUCCCACCCACUGAUUCAUGUAGGUAAAUAUUGUAAGAAGCACGGCGACCACGAGUCUUAAGUAUCCUCAUCCCAAUGUAGAACAUCAUUGAAUCAUGACUAGAUUGAUAAUUUCUGAAACCAGCUGCUGUUCUAGAGAAACUCACCCCCUAAACGCAGAAUGUCAGAUUAUCUUAAACUAUAAACUCCAUUCAGAAAAGACUCUGGGUCAUUAUGCAAGUAUACCUGAGUUAAGGUAAUAAACACAUGAAUUGGUAAUGAUGCAUCGGGACCAGCAGCCCUCAAUCGAAACUGUGGAUUUUGAUUCCAAGAAGCAUAAUCUUGGCAUCCACCAGCACUGUAGCCUCGCCAUUGGCCAUGAACAGAAUACCGCAUCUCAGGGGGGUAGACACGACAUACAUAUAUUGAUCGGAAGUGGAUCUGGAAGUCUUGCCAAGACAUCCAGAAAAUACCAUCUUUUGACUGAGGAACAUGCUUCAGCUUGUGUUUUAUUCUAUCAGUCCAUUCGGGUGAUGAAUCAGACCAAGGACCAUUCCACUCAACUUCAUUAGCCCAUGGAUUCCGAAUUUGAACAAGCUUAUGUCCAUCCACCUCUCUAACUUGCAGCAAAGAGUAAGCAUGGCCUUGGACAAUGCCACUAGAAGAAAUGUGCACAUCAGAACCAGAUGGACUCCCAGCACCAAGUAGAAAGCCCUCUUGUUUAAAACGUAGCAAUUGAGACCAUAGUCUGCCACUAGCAAGAUCAAUCUGGGCCUGGGCACUCCUCAUGUCAAUCUCCUCACCAGCACCACCAGUAAGGUCAACAAGAGCAUCCUGGACAAGCCCACCUUCCAAUGCCUCAUAAGAGCCAUGCAAUUUGGCAUAUGCUUUCUCCAAUAUAGACACCCAGAGUUCAUUACCUUUCCUGCUGGUAGCAAAUGCAGGUUUACCUGGUGAUUCACAUGGUAUCCAAUCAUCGACAACUACUGGAACCCACUCACCCUGAAUGCAGAAACGAACAGUGUAGAUUCCUUCCUCAUUGUAUUCAGGAGUAAUAAUUACUUCUGAUAUUCGUGAUACCUCCGUCAAAACAGCAACAGCACUUAAAAACCAACAAUCUCCUAAACGACCCUGACAAACAUCAGAGGGAUUUGCAGACCCAGAAAAUAAGCAUGGGCAGGAAUCCAGACGGUUUUCCUUAACUAUUUCACGAGGCCUCAUCCAAUCAGAGACAACCUGCAACUUCAAAGGGGGAUUUUCUGGAUCCACAUACAAUGAUUGAUCAUUUGGAGGGAACUCCUGAUCAGUAAAACGCGUUUCUCCUCUAGCAGAUAGGGCUUCUUUGACAGCCAGUUCAACUGAAAGCAUUCGCUGAUUGAUUUCUUCUUGCGUUUCUACCCUAGGUUUCCUAAACCUCCUUGUGAAAGAGUCCAUUUCCACCACAACUUCACGAUCUGACCUCCUUUUCCUCCCACUUGAAUAUUGACCAUCCCAAUCUACAUCAUCCCUAUCAUACAGAUCUACAUCUGCAGGAUCACUAUCCCACUCAUCAACCCUGGUGGGUGAAUCUGCCCAUUGCCAAUUAUCUUCAGGAAAGUCAACCAUACCAAACUCUGUUGAGCCUAUAGCAGUGUGAAGAGAGGCAAUCUCAUCUUCAGUUAAGCACCUUCCCCAUAAAAAGACAUCCAUUAUAUGCAUUUUAGACUCAGCACCUUCACUAUCUGACCUUCCAAAUGCAUCCACAUCCGUAGGCGGUCUAAAACCAACCCAAACUUCUGUCCCUUGUUCCCAAAUGCUACUACCAACAGACAAUGGUAACCCAGUUUGGAAGCCAUCAAAGCCACCAUCUAGAUAGCAAGUUGCCUCACCUAAAUCAGCAUCAACUGUCAUCGUCACAAUAUGCCACCUUCCAUCUGCAAUACUUGUCGCACUGAUGCUCCACUCCCUUGCAACUGUUGUUUGCCUAUCACCCUUAGUAAUCAAUCGAAGCCCAACUUGUCCUGCCUCAAUACCUUGCUCAGCACCAGCAACCAAAACUUCCCAGCAAACUUUUUUAUGAAAUUCAGUGCCUAAAAGGCACACUGGUCCAGACUCAGGUUGGAUCAUCACUGCAAUUGAAAAGCUGACUUUUCGAGUUUGACAUAUGCUGGGAUCAAUCUCACCGCAGUGUCGGCCGCUUGCUGUUGGUUCAUCAUCAAGGAUACAUAUGGCACCAGAAAUUCCGGUCUGAAGUGCUCGACGGGCUAAUUGAGCCAUGCGUAUCCGACGUGCAAUGCUUGCAACCCUCUCCCGAGCAAAGGAAUCACUGAGAACAGAAUCACCACCUACAGCACGCACUGCAGCAGCCAUAGCUGCUGCCUCCCUGCUGCCAGCAUUAGGAAUAGAGGAAAUCAGAGAAGCUUCAAUCUCCUUCCAUUUACGUUCUUCUUUAUCCAGAAGAGCCUUCCUUCUUUCUUUACCUCUGCCCUCCUCUUCACGUCUCUGCAUUAAGAUUUCCUCUUCCAUCUCCUUUUCUCUUAAGUAACUCUCUUGAAUAAUUUCAAAUUGCCUACGAUCCUCAGGCAUCCAUUUCUUAAUUUUCUUGGCACUUAGGUCUGAAAACCCUAUGCUGUCAAGAAAAAGCCUCAAGCGUACCUCAUCCUGCACUCUUUCUGCUGUAGCAGUCAAACCAAGAAGUAGUAAUAAAUAACCACCAAACCGAUCCCACAUGUAUACCCAUUCAGUGUCUAUUGCCUCUUCCAAAGCCAAAAUUCGUGCAUGCGCACACAUUUCCCUUCUGUGAUCUAAAUCAGUGGCUGAUUCACGGAAAAACGCCCUGUAUCUCAUUCUGAAGAAGAAUGAUCCUACAAGUAGUUCCUCGUUUCUCAGACGAUCUCUCAAUUUCACAACAUCAUCUCUAGGAAGCACAAGGUUGCCUGCCUUGUCCCGUGUAGCAGUAGGGUCUCCAACCAAAAGAGCUGUUGAACUAGCAGAUCUCUGUGGAGCCGAAUAAGUUCCAGAUAAAGCAUUUCUUGUCUUAGUGGCAGAUCGUGCAAUUGCUUGGACAAUAGUAUCCUUACUGAGAAAAUGAACUGCAUCUUCCAUCAUCUCAAGUGUCAGGCAUGGACGAGAAACAGCAAAACCAAAGGCUACAACAAGAGUAAUUGCAGAUACAGCAGCACCAGCAAAUGGUGGGUAAAUUUUCAAACUAGCAACAACACCCCAACCCUCAGUUGCCAAAGCAAUCCCAUAGAGCACAAGAAAUGCGACACUGACAUUCUUGCCACAAUCUGCAUGAGCAUUGUAUACAUAAACAGGCAAUACUCUAGGCGAAUACACUACAAUGGGCGGUGAGAGGAGGACCGUCAAUGCUCGUCCAGCAAGAAGAAAUAGAAAUGAAAAAUAACCAACAGAUGCUCCAACAAAUGGUUUACCUUGAAACCAUCCAACAAGAAACGCUGCCAAGCCCAAAAGAAAAGCAAGGAAACAAACAAACAGCAUCUGUGUCCUGGUCAAAUAGAAGUUGUUUGAAGCCCAGUGGUGGAUAACACCAAUAGCUAGCACGAUCAGGAGAAGAACUAAAAGGAAUGCUACUCCUAUAGUCCAUGGCUUAAUCACAACUAUAACAGCAGAUAUUGCACCAAGCAGAAGAAGGAGACCAAUAAUAACAAAUACAUAUACCCCUCGAGAGAGUUUCCAACCAUCAUCUUUCCAUUUAAGCAAUCCAGAGCAAAGUGAUAGCAAUGCCGGAAUGCACACAAGAGGCAGUAAAGCAGCUAAAAAAUCACCCUUUGUUGGAACUUGGUCAUCCCUAGAUUUGACAACUUCCAAAUAGGAUGCACCACAAAAUGCCACAAGAACAACUGUGAAUAUCCCAACACAUACAGCAGAAGACAGGGAAAACCGAUAUGUUGCAAACCAUGACACAAUUGGCAGCACACCAGUAACUACUAAAGCAAUUGCAGAUGCCAUUGCCCAACCAAGGUACACUGAUGAUGCAUAAGGAGUGCUACAGCUUCCCGGGUCACUAGCCCACCCCUUGUACUCUAAAUCAUCUAAAGGCUUCACAGACACUAUUGCACCCAGAGCUAAUACAGAUCCAAUAAAUACUAUUACACAAAUUAUAAGAACAAUGCCCUCCUUUGUCCCAGAAGGGCGAUGGUUUCCUGCAGGAACUGUGGAGUGUACCCGUGGAACCCAAACCUGGUAGCCAU